CUGGGCAGACUUUUUAUCCAGGGUUUUCAUGAAGCUCCAAAGCUUUGCAUUGCACAAAGGCUUUCAAGGCACUGCUGCAGGAAGAUCUAAGGGACAUCCUUCCAAUCAUAUUGUCCCUUAAGGGCAAAUGGUUUCCUUUUCUUUCUUCUGUUACCCUGACCAGUCAAAUCCAUUCCUUGGAACUAACUAUCCAUCUGUCCAGUGGAACAUUGUUCAAAACAAGCUGUCCUAGUCCAUUCAAGUUGGCAGCAAGAAAUUUCUAUCCCUCUGCCUACCUUCCCAGUCCAAAAUUAAGGCACCUCUCAUCCCCCCGUUUCUUUUACACUAUGAAACACAUAGGUUUCUGGCUUGCUCCCACUGCAAGAAUUUGCCUCUGGAGUGCAGGAACUGCAGCCGUCUGAAACUGCUGGAACCAGAAUGUGUUGCUUCUCAUUCCUCCAUUCUGGCUCAGUCACAUCAGCUCACAGUUCUUUUCUGUGUAAACACAAUCCCACUCUCACACCAGCAUUAUUCUCACCCCGCUUCUCAAAUGGUUGAGCACAGGAGGAGGCACAGUUUAAACACUCCAACAGAUAACCAAAGUCCCAUGUCAGAUCUCCAGGAAGACAGCUAGGAUCCUAAGAGGAACCCAAACUCGACUCUCUGUCUCUUCCUCUGUGUAUAUAAAGCACCUACACCCACACAAA
This is a long non-coding RNA of Podarcis raffonei (Aeolian wall lizard), 686 nucleotides long. RefSeq lists it as uncharacterized. Lineage: Eukaryota; Metazoa; Chordata; Lepidosauria; Squamata; Lacertidae. The transcript is spliced from 2 exons. The record is from RefSeq and is a predicted model, not a curated record.